AAUAAAAGACCGAUUUACCUGCCGCUUUACUGAUUUCAAUCAGUCAAAGAAAAUAUUAUUAAUUUAAUAUUUAAUUGUAUAAAAUCAAACAAUGUUAUUUGGUUUGUAACGGAAAAUAAGAAAUAUUUGAUGACAUAAUGUAUAGAAUUGAAAUACAACUUUAUUUGAGAAUUUCCAUUCAUUAAUGACGGCUGCCACUUGAACCGCUGUAACUUUCAAAUUUGUUAAUGUAUAAUAAAAGACCGAUUUACCGGACGCUUUGCUGUCUCGUCUAAAUGUCUGAGGAGAUUUCAAAUCAGUGUAAAACUUUAUUAAUUCAACUUUUGAUUGCCGUGAUACAAAUUUCAAAUUUUUGAAAAAAAAAAUUGAUUCGUGUAUAGAGAAGACGUAUUUGAAUAUAAUUGGUACUGUUGAUUAAAACAAUUAAAUAAAAAUUAUACUUAAAUACUAUAAGAAAAAUUACCUGCCAGAAUUUCAUCGUCAUUUAAUUUUAGACCUGAAUAAGAAUGAUAUAAUUUUUCUUUUAAAGUAAUGUUUUUAAAUAAAUAAAUAAAUAAAUAAAUAAAUAAAUAAAAUAAUUUAAACUUAAAAUUGGUGAAAUUUUCGUUAUUACGUAUCCAAGUCGAACAAAUUUGGGCCCAACUACUAAUUACAUUGUCAGAGGUUUAAGGGCUAAUUUACUUUGACUUUGCAUUUGAAGAGAGUGGGGUAAGUCAUUGUAUAAAAUCUCUUCAAAUGUUGUAAAAGGCCUCUUUUCGUCGUGGUUUUUGGCACUUCUAAAGUCUUGUGCAACCUGUGUGUGUGUGUGUGUGACCUGUUUUGCAGUUCAGCAAAAUGCAUCAGUUUACAUCUUUUCUAAACGAACAAAGUGUAAAAAAUGUGUUAUACUUAUACCAUGCUGGGUUUUUUAAAACACCAGAAAUGUUACGCGACGCUUUUAAUUAUAUCAAUAUCAAGAUUGUCUUUAAUAAUUAUUCAUUAGAAGCUUGGGAGCAAGUUUCUUAUGACCAAAUGUCGAAUCAAGUUAAUAAUAUGGGUAAGUAAUAAUACAAAUAAUAUUGUGAGCAUAAUUAUUAAUUUACAUGUUGAUUAUUAGGACAAAUGUGCAAUAAUUUUUCCGAUGAAAUCGCUCAUGGAAUAAGGAACUUAACUGAUGAUAAUGUGAAUAACAAGUGCGAUGACGAGUCCUGGUACAUGGAAAAUUUUAACUUUCCUAACGAUGUGCAAUCGACUAUGUCCAAAACCACGAUGAAAAGAGCCCUAAAUCAACCAUCAACCUCUCGUUUUGAUGAAUUUACCAACCUGCAACCCUCAACAUCUAAGGCAACAGAAUCAGUGAAUGCUUUAAAAAGACGCCUCCCUAACUUCGAAGAUGGUCCUUUAGAUACACUUGUAAAUCAAAUCGGUGCUGGUCAAAUUGACGAUAAUGAAGUCUUUGAAAAUUUUGCUGAUGAAUUUAACUUUAUUAAUAAAAAUGGAGAAAAUGAAUCAUUCAUAAAAAAGUUUAAUACAUUAGCGAGACGUAUGAGGUUUUCCUUUAAAGAUAAUGCGCCGGAGAAUCCAAUUGAAUGGAUGCAAAAUGCAAUUGAAGAACUGUUGGCGCACAUUUUUAGAGGAUUUUCAAGUGAUGACUAUGUCGGCUUAGUUCUCGAAAAUGAAGAAUUCCCCGAGCGACCUGUUUACAUUUCCUUCCGCAAAUUAUCCCAAUAUAAUGUCGCAAUGGUGAUGGAAACUGUAGGAAAUGUUCUUCAGAGCAAUCGUGCGUUCUUUGUUAAUGAUCGUUUAUCGAUACGGGUGGACAGGGUGGCUUUACCUGUGGGAAAAGGAUUUCGUACCGCCACCGAUGGAUUAGCCGUAAGUUAUAAUGAACAUUGUCUUAGUAAAAAUAGCAUAUAUGUUAUUGAAAAUGAUAACAAUAAUUGUUUAGCAUUAGCAUUAGUAGUCGCAAGAGAGUAUUGCAAUAAUAAUUUUAAAAGAUCCACUUUAGAAAAAUUUAAAGGAAUAAACGGGAAAAAACUUUUAGAACAAUUAGGUGCUGAAUUAUGUAGAGAGGCUGAUGUCGAUUUAGCAAAUGGAGGUAAUUACACACAUGUUGAGAAAUUUCAGAAAUAUUUGGCAAAUUAUACAAUUAUUGUAUACGAUGAUAGAAUGGGUCGAUCAGUGUACUAUGUCGGUCCACGGGCUCAAGGAAGGCCAAGUUUAAAUUUGAUAUUUGAGGAGAAUCAUUUCAAUGUAAUUCUAAGUACAACCGGUGCAUUCGCGACAGCGUAUUUCUGUGAUCUUUGCCGAGUACGAUAUUCACGUCGUGAUCGUCACAAAUCUUGCCCCUACACGUGUCCCUGUUGUUUAGAAAAGCCACCUUGUAAUUUAGUUCAUAGCGAUAUAAAAUGUCAAAAUUGUCAAAGAAAUUUUCGGGGUGCCCAAUGUUUUGAAAAUCAUAUUACAAAAAAUAUAUGCGCGAAAAUAAAAAAAUGCCCAACAUGUUUAACUUUCGUAAAACUUGAUUCUAAAAGUUCAAAACAUAUUUGCGGUAUGAAGUUUUGCCGAACCUGCGGUGUAAACAGACCAAUAAGGCAUUUUUGUUUCAUGAAACAAAACAAAAUUAAUCAAAACAAGCAAUUAGACAAUCAACACAAAUACUUAUUUGUUUAUUACGAUUUUGAAACAAGACAAGAAAAAACUAUCAAUAAUGCGUACCUACACGAAGUAAAUUUGUGUGUGGCACAACAAGUUUGUGCACAUUGUAUUAAUGAAGAUGACAUUUCAGUAAACUGUAAUUUUUGUGGAGUAAGACAACAUAUUUUUUAUGAGGACGCAGUAACAAAUUUGUUAAAUCAUAUCGCUAAACAAUCGAAAAAAUUCAAAGUUACAGCAAUCGCUCACAAUAUGAGAGGUUUCGAUGGCUGUUUUAUAUUACGUGAACUUUUUGCAAAUAGCAGUAGGUGGCAACCGGAGGUGGUUCGUUCGGGAACAAAAUUGUUAGUUAUAACUUGUGGUUCUUCAAUUCGUUUUAUAGACAGUUUAAAUUUUUUGCAGUUACCAUUAUCUCAAUUGCCUAAAGCAUUCAAUAUACAAGAAACAAAAGGUUAUUUUCCCCAUUUAUUUAACACUUUGAAUAAUCAAAAUUACAUAGGAAAAAUUCCCGAUCCUGAGUAUUACGGAUAUAACACUAUGAGUGAGAAAGAUCGUGUAAAAUUUUUAUCAUGGCAUUCAGAACAAGUGACCAAUAAUUUUGUGUUUAAUUUUCAAGUAGAAUUCCUUAAGUAUUGCAUUUCUGAUGUGGAUAUAUUGAGAAAAAGCUGUAUUCGAUUUCGGGAAUGUUUUUUGAAGACCAAUAAUGUAGAUCCGUUUUUAGAAUGCAUUACAAUCGCCUCAGCAUGCAAUUUAGUAUUCCGACGCAACUAUUUACGCGAAAAUUCAAUCGGUAUCAUACCAGUAUCUGGGUACAGAACCGCUGACAAACAAAGUGUCAUUGCUAUAAAUUGGCUACUUUGGGAAUCGAAAAAAAGUAACGUUCAUAUUAUCCAUAGCGGAAAUGCGCGAGAAGUCCGGUUAAAAGAGGGUAUGCUAGUUGACGGGUAUUGUGAAGAGACGAAUACCGUUUAUGAAUUCCAUGGGUGCUGGUGGCACGGGUGCGAGCUAUGUUUUUUUAAUCAAACCCAGAAAUUAUCCGAUAAAAACGACGCGUUAUUCUUGCGUCGUGAAAAUACACAAAGUAAAGAAGAGAGUAUUAGAACAUAUGGCUAUAACUUAAUUACAAUGAGGGAAUGUAUAUUUAAAGACCAAAUUAAAGAGAACCCAGAAUUAAAAAAUUUCAUUGAUAAUCGAAAUUAUUUGAAUAAACACACUCCUUUAAACCCACGCGAUGGCUUCUUUGGAGGAAGAACAAAUGCUUGUAAAUUAUAUUAUAAAUGUAAUGAAAACGAGAAAAUAGCUUAUCAGGAUGUUUGUUCCCUAUACCCAUUCAUUAAUAAAUACGGGAAAUAUCCAAUUGGGCAUCCGAAAAAGAUUUAUGUUGGGCAAGAGGAAUGCGCAAAUGUCGACCUAAAUUCUGUCGAAGGUUUAGUAAAGUGCACUGUAUUACCUCCUGCUCAACUUUACCAUCCUGUGUUACCAUUUCGAUGUAAUGGAAAAUUGACAUUUCCAUUAUGUCGUACCUGCGCUGAAGCUAAUUAUCAAGACAAUUGUUUUCACGAGGAUGUCGAUCGGCAAUUUACUGGGACAUAUGUGGCCGAUGAAUUACGUGUAGCUAUUGAAGAAGGGUACAGUAUAGUGGAACUUAUUGAAAUUUGGGAAUACAAUGUAGAAAUUUACGAUCGGGGUAAUAAAUCGGGCGGACUCUUUUCAGAAUACAUUAAUGCAUUCGUAAAAUUAAAGGUCGAGUGUUCUGGUUGGCCAUCUUGGGUAAGUACCGAUGAAGACAAAAAUGUAUAUAUUCAACAAUACGAGGAACGAGAAGGUAUAAAACUCGAUCCAACCAACGUAUCAAAAAAUUCCGGUCUCAGAUUUCUCGCUAAAAUAAUGUUAAACAGCUUUUGGGGAAAGUUUGGCCAAAAGGAAAAUCUUAAAAAAACUGAUAUAAUUAGCGAUCCCCAUGAGCUGUUUAAGUUGCUAACAAAUCAAUCUGCAAUUGUAAAUAGUCUAUUACAUAUUAACGAAGACGUUAUUCUGGCAACAUGGGAACGUGUAGAGGAAGAUAUAGCGCCCAUGAAAACGGUAAAUGUAGCUCUUGCAUGCUAUACAACAGCCGGUGCACGCUUAGAAUUAUAUAAGUAUUUAAAACCCCUUGGCAAAAGGGUAUUGUAUUUUGAUACCGAUAGUAUCAUUUUCGUUAAAAAAGAAGGGGAAUAUGAACCUCCUACUGGCGAUUUCCUAGGUGACCUCACUGACGAAAUGAUUGAAUAUGGCGAAGGUAGUUAUAUAACUGAAUUUGUCAGUGGGGGUCCUAAAAAUUAUGCCUACAAAUUUUGGAAUGAAAAUGAGCACAAAAUUCAAACUGUGUGUAAAGUCAAGGGGUUAAGUUUGCAUUAUCAAAAUGCUCAAUUAGUUAAUUUCGACAAAAUAAAAGACAUGCUGUGUAAUAACACCGACCAAACUGUUAAAUUGACCGAUCGCACAAUAAUUCGAAAUGAGACUUAUGAUGUUAUGACAAAAGAAACAACUAAGACGUAUCGUAUAAAUUAUACAAAACGACGACGUUUAGAUGAUGGUUCUUUUGACACCUUACCAUAUGGCUAUAGAGAUGUAUAAUAAUAUAAGAUGUAUUAUUUAAUCUUUUAAUAAAUAAAUAAAUCUAAUAAAUAUGAUUUCUGUGAUUUUAUUUUGAUUUAACCCAGAAUGUGUGUGUGUGUGUGUCGCGCCCGUCCCCGCGCCGCCGCCACCCCGUCCCGCGCCCGUUCCCGCGCCGCCGCCACCCCGUCCCGCGCCCGUUUCCGCGCCGCCGCCCCGUCGUCCGCGCCGCGCCCCGUCCGCGUCAUGCUGGUGAGUAACGAGAUAUAAGGAAAGAAAGAAAAAACAUGGAUCUUGCAAAGUCUUUAUUUAUUCAUGAAAUAUUUGUUAAACAUUUUGUUGCAUAGUUUGUCAUUAUUGUGAAAAUCUUUGUUAAAUAACUUUAGAAAAUCAUCAACAGAAUUGCCUAAUGCGUAGUUUAAAAGAAAUAAAGUACAGUAUUUGCCACAGACGGUUGAAGAAAAAUCUUGAAUUUGAGAAAUAUUGUAAGACCACAUCAUAGCAUUUUUUCUAAGAAAUUUUAAAAUAUUCGGAGGCGGCUGAUUUCCAAAACUAUCAAAGAAGUAUGCGAAACCAAAUUUAUCAAUGUAAACAGCCAUCCAAUGACUACCCGGGAGGUAAUCAGGGUCUCUGUUGAUAAUAACCAUAGAGGGUCUGGUGAUUAGGACAGGUAGAGUGUUAUACGCAGAAACAAGAACGUGGUGUCUUUUCUUCCGAGAGAUCAUCUCCAGACACGUUUUGAGUUGUAAAGUAUUCAUUGUACCAACUAGCCAAGUUUUGUACGUUUUGAACAGCGCACACCGAAUCGCUGAUUAUAUGAUUCACACAACAAUUCGUAUCAAAAUGUUCUCUCAAGUAACGAAGCGAUGGACACUCUAAAUCUUCAAUGUUUACAAUUUGACUUUUUGGUAAACGUUUCAAAAGUAGACGCUUCUUAUCUAUUCCUUUCACGUAUAUACACUUUGAAUUUUUCGUAGUUUCAUUCAAUAUUUCAGACAACUUUUCGUAGUCGUAAUUACCGCAGUUCCAAGAAAGCCCGUGAAAGUUAUUCGUCAACCAAUCGGCUUGCUUCUGAUAACGAUGCGGUAAGGUUGAAAGAUCAUCGGGUGGUUUAAACAAAAAGAUGUCUGGUGCGCUUUUGUUCGUAUUAAAUACAGCUAAUUCUUUUAUGGUUAAAGUUUCGGUACAAUUACCGUAAUUGAACCCUUGAAAAUCCACAAACACAACCAUUUCGGAUGACGGGUAAAAUGAAAGUAGCAAAUUUUUCAUUUGUAAUAGCAAUUUAUUUAUCACUUAUAUAAAUUUAUCAACUACUAUAAUCUACAAUUACAUUACGUUUUUUAUCAAUUUCUAUUACACUAUCAAAUUCACCAUACACUAAACAAUUGACAGUUUCUGUAAGAGCAGUGUUAAAACCAACUUCUAUUCGUAAACUUCCGUUCUUUAUCAAAUUCCAUGAAAGAGCAUUAUGCGAUGAUAAGUCAGGUGUCAAAUCAAAAACAGCUAUUGAAUAUCCAUCAGCAUAAUUAUCACGUGAAAUCCCAUUUCCAGUGUUUAGAAAAUGUAUACCAGUACCAGAAAAUAAUGUGUGGUACAUUGAAACAAAUUUCUUAUUUGGACCGAUAAAUGUAGGUUGUAAGGGUUUACUAGGAAUUUGGUUACCAUCCACGUACAAGGAUAGAUAGUUUAAACCAAAGUUUUCGAAAUUAAAUGGAUUUAAGGAAUAAUCACCGUUAAAUGCUUUAUUUGUCACAAAGCACAAUGCACAUCUUUUUGGAAGUUGGCCCAAAUAAACAUUAUCCAAUGAUUUUCCUUGUACUCCUUGCGGUAUAGUCAAAACCUUUAAUUCUGUUCGCGUAAUUGGAUAUUUUGCAGUUGAAAGCUCUAAAGCCUUUGCAUGCGCAAGUAAUACGCUUGGAUUUAUCCGAUUUCUUCUAAUCAUUAGAGUUGCAUCAGUAAUUUGAAUUUUUCCAUUAAGAUUAUUUGAUGACAUCAAUGCAAAACUAUCACGAGAACGUACAAAUUUUAAUCUCAUUUCUACACCGUUGAUUAAAAAUUUUUCUUGAUUAAAUAUAUCACAAUUUAAGUGACCAAUAAGAUCGACUUCUUUACUCGUCGACGUUAGUUUGAGUCUAUUGGCGAAUCCACUGUUCUCAUUGGUUACUACAUUCAUUUUGCCUGCCGUAUCGGCGUACCAUAAUCCACAAGUUAAAUGGGAAUUCUUCGCCCCUGAGUCAUAAUUUAAAAGUGUCUCCAAAUAACAUUUAUAAGCGUAUGUAUUAUUUGGUGGUGAAAUCAGUUUUUGAUUUAGGUAUACAUCAACUUGACUAAACAUUGAGUGGAGAAUAUUAUUAACUGGACCAAUUGUAUCUUCAGCGGUAUAAUUACUACCGUCAUCUUUGCAUAUUUUAAUACAAAGUGAAAGUAAAGUUUGCGAUAAAUCUAUAUAGUCUUCACCACCUGGUAUUACAAAUUCUAAAGGACUAUUUUCAGAUAUACUAGAUACAGUUUUGUAAUGAACCCAUUGACCGCUUUCGAUGCUUGUUUGAGUUGGCGGUAAAGCAAAAAGAUCCAAUUCACUUUUCGCGCACUCACAACUAUGAGGAUGUAAAAACGACAUUCUAGCUAAAGAUAUCUUGAUGUUUAAUAACUGAACUCGUUUUACACUUCUUUGCAGAACGACGUGAAGAACUAUUCUGACUUUUAUUUUGUACUAGCCUUCUUUUUAUAGAUCCAGAUCCUACCAAGUUGUCUAAUUUAUCUUGAGCUUUUCGUUUCAAAUUUUCAACUGACUCAUUUACACGUGUCUUGAAUGCAUCCUUUACAGGCACCUCAUUAACAAUGUCGCCAAGAAAAUUUGAACCAGUGCGUAGUGUUUCCUUACCAAUUGUUUUAACACCACUCUUUAUUAACGGCAUUACCGUACGAAAAAGUCCCCGUAAAAAACUACCAAUACCAUAACCCUUUUGGUAACUAAUUCCUUUGUAAAUAGCACCUACACCUGAACCAGCUUGAUUGAUGUAGUAAUCGUGAUAAUGACAUGAAGGCAUUACGAAAUUUUUUUAAAAUGAAGUUUAACGCACACUGUUCCAAACUGAAAUGGCACUUUCUCACCAGUUGCACUUCUUAUAUCAAUUUCAAUGUUUUCAAAUUCCCUUUUCAACAGAGGCACGUAAUGCGGAUGCGAAAAUAAUUGCGUAUGAUGUGUACCGUAAAUGUAGUGUUUAUUAUCGAUAACAACGAUUCGAAUUACUUUUGCCAUUAUAUCGCCCACCAAUUGUGGUUCAAUUAUAUCACUGUAUACGAAAAGUUGUGAAGGCAAACCCAACAUAAUGUUUGCUGGAUGUGUUGAAGUUUUACUCAGUACAUUUGUAUCCGGUUGAAAACCUAAUUGUAGACUUAAUGUCGGUGAAAAUGAUAGACUUGUCAGAUAUUUGCUACUGCUUGUUACAGUUACUCUUUUUGAACCAUCAUUUAAUCUGAACUCAACAUUAUCUUUUACUAAAACUCUUACAGAGUUUAGAGCAUCCACAAUAGAUUCGAUCGUUUCGUAGUUACCAGCUUCAAGCUUAGUCUUAUAUUUCGUCAUAAUUACAUCGUGUUCAAAUGUGAUCGUUUUCAUUUUAAGAUCGCGCAUGAAUUCUUUCGAAGACUUGUAUUUCCUUCUUCGAACCUGAUCAUCGAUCCAUGUCGCAAAACGGGGAUCUUUAAACAAUAUGUCAAUGGCUUUUUCACCUUUUUGCAUAAUCGCCGAUAAACUAAAUUCAAAAGAGCAGUAAAUAAUAUUUUCACCACUGUUGAUGGUUAAGAAGGAACACGGAUACUGUAUUUCCGAAAGUCCCACACACCAUUCACCAUCCAAAUGAACAGUUUUUGGAAGUUGUGUGCAAAAGUGCGUUGUUGUAUUUUCGGGAAAGUAAUUGGUUGAGCUGUUUGAUACCAAAGUUAAAUAAAAUUCGUUAUUCAUAUCGAUGUAAGGGAACUGCACGGAAUCCACGAGUUAAACUUUGAAGGAUAAUUUUUCCACUGCACAAAAAUUUCACAUUUACCUCUUUUAUAUCGCUUCUUCAAUACUUUUUCAAUGUGAAAUGUACUCUGGGGGUCGUACGUUACGCGCUGUAAUUCGGGGUGAUAGAAGACGCCCUCUAUUGGUUCAUCCAUUAAAUCGGAAAUUUUGUACACAACGGGUUGUCUCAUUAUAACAUCAGUUAUUUUGAAUAUUUCACCGCUCCAAUUACUCAUGUAGCCUUUUUCAAAUACGUGCUUGUACUUGGUGAUUCUGACGUAAUCUCCAACUUUGUACACAUUUUCGAGUUUGAUCGUUUUAAUAUUCUUCUUUCUCGUACUCAUAAUGUUAUCGUAUACUUGCGCAACGUUGUCAGGAUUUACCUCGUUAGGAGCCAUUUUAAUAGUACGAUGAUAAGAAUUAUUGUAAGAGUGCAUGAAUUCGGGUAAUACAUCAAUGUAUUGCAUAUUAUUUGCAAACGUAAAAUAUUUAUGCAUUUUUGUUUUUAAAGUUUUAUUGAACCUUUCUACCACAGCAGCUUUUACAUCAGGAUUAUUUGUUACAUAAUAAUUUAUAUCAUAUUGUUUAAACAAUUUUUGGACAUUUUUCGCUAGAAAUUCUUUUCCCUUGUCAGUCUGAAGAUUAACCGGAACACGCUCAUCAAAUAUUUCUUUAAAAGCUGCAGCCACUUCAUUUCCCGUCUUUGUGUAUAAAGGUUUAACCCAUGCAAACUUGGAAAAUACAUCGAUGACAGUUAAUAGGUAAUUUACACCUCGAUUAUGUUUUGCGAUGUUUCUCAUAUCUAUUAAAUCAGCUUGAAAUAAAUCGUCUAUGUUGGUUACAUGAUAACUAUUUCUAGGAAAUCGACGACGAACUUGCUUAUGUAAUGUAUAAGAUUCCACACCUUCUAGCCAUUUAUUAAUUUUUUUCUUAUGUAUAUUUGUAAACUUAGCUAAGUUGUUAGGACUCGAAAAACCAAGAGGGUCACGAGGUAUAAAAUAUCUUUCCUUUAUUUCAUCCAUUUUUGUCUACUUGCUUUCAUACGGCGACCAAGGAACUCUCAAGCGUUUUUGUUUUCUUGAUGACGAUCGCAUUGAUUUCUUCGUUAUUUGACUAUCCUCUUCUUCUUCUUCUUCUUCUGUGUCAAACUUUGACGACGAUAUUGGUUUUACUUUCACUUCGUUUUUUACUUCUUGCUUUUCAGCACCUUGUUCAUUUAUAUAUUUCAAACGUUUUGGAUUAAUUAUAAGAGUACGUGGAACGUUUAUUUUAUACAAAAUUUCCGCAAAAUUUUUCCAUCCGACAGGCUCGGCAUUUAACUUAUUACUACUCUUCAUAACAUCAGUGAUUAGAUCAAAUAUAUUGGAACCAGGAAUUGUGUUUCCAUCGUAGAUAACGUUUCCGGUUUCAUUCCAUGCAACUCCAUUGUGUGUUAAAUUGUUUAACAAAGCAUUCGCUUUAACUUGUAAGGGUCUUGGUAGGGAACUCAAAAUGUUUCGAGUAAUUCGUUCAGAUUGUUCUAAUUGAUUUUCUUUAGAAUAAAUCACAGGUAUGGUAACAGGUUCACGAGAACGACUUAUCAUUUUUAGAUAUCUUUGAAGCACUUGAUUAUACAAAAUCCAUUUUUCAUUAUCAUCAAUGUUUUUCGUAUCUAUGAUUCUUUUCAUUUCAUGAUCUAAAUCAUUUAGGGUGUUUGGCUGAGUGCUUUUGUUAUUAUGCAAACGUUCAAGUUCGGAUGAAUCAAUGAGUACCAUUUUUUUCGUAUGUUCCAUUAUUUAUUAAAUAAAUGACCCAACACACCCGAAAUUAUUGGAGCCAACAACAAUGGUAAGAAAGCACCUCCUUUUUGCACAAUUAGUUUCUUUUUUCUCUGGAGAGAUAAUUUACGAUUUACUAAAUUUCUCAGUAAUUUUUUAUGUUUCUUUAAUUUGCUCUUUUGAGAACCAUUUAAAGGAACUUUCCCUAAUAACGUAUUGUGAGCGCACUCGCAUAUACAAUGCACCAAGUUUUUAUCGGCUGAAUUAAGAAUUGAUUUACGAUAAACAGGUGUUGUUCUAUGCAAAAAUUUUAAUAACUCGGCGUUUCUUUCUAACGCUCGCGACAUCUCAACGACGACUGACGCAUAAACUACUUACUUUUAUAUUUAUAAUCUC
Long non-coding RNA from Tribolium castaneum (red flour beetle), 11388 nucleotides. RefSeq lists it as uncharacterized. The record is from RefSeq and is a predicted model, not a curated record. NCBI's taxonomy places the organism in Eukaryota, Metazoa, Arthropoda, Insecta, Coleoptera, Tenebrionidae. The transcript has 7 exons.